Flavobacterium fryxellicola is the source of this 97-nucleotide non-coding RNA. NCBI's taxonomy places the organism in Bacteria, Pseudomonadati, Bacteroidota, Flavobacteriia, Flavobacteriales, Flavobacteriaceae. The record is from Rfam.
AUCCGUUAUCACGAAUCCUGUAAUAGGAUAGCAACCUGCAACAACAAGCAAGGUGCUAAAACGAUAAGCCAAAUCCUUUGGAAAAAAUGUUGUUUUA